GUCUGAGAUAAUGAAAGCAAAUGAAGUAAUGAACUAUAUAUUCAACAAACUAGUUUGCAUUUGCUAAAGUUACUGCUGUAGUUAUCUGUAUCAUAUAGAGUCACUGUACAUAUGUGCAAAACCAUUGACAGUCCUUUACAAAACUGAAAAAGCGAUGAAGGUUGAAUCAUCAAAGACUAUAAAUUCAUCAUUGGAUUAUCAAAUAUUAGUAUGACCUUCAUUUCCUUCUCUACUUUAUUAUGUAUUUGCAUCAUAAUACGUGAUAUUUUCGUAAACUAUAAACAGUGCCACCCAUAAUGAUUUAAAACAAUUAAACUACCUAGAAGGUAAAAAUUAUGUAUCAAGUCACUUAUAUGAGGAUUUUUUUUAGGUUCAUAGGAAUUUGAGAUGGCGUAAAGCCGCAAACAAUGGUGGGGGUACAGUUUCUUACUGAAAAGUUAAAACACACAUGCACAAGCUCAGGGCCUCUAAAAACCAUCUUUCCUUGGUCCACCCCUCUCACCAGGGUUUUGAAGAUCAAUUUUGGCG
Molecule: long non-coding RNA, 528 nt
Filed under: Phoenix dactylifera (date palm)
Lineage: Eukaryota; Viridiplantae; Streptophyta; Magnoliopsida; Arecales; Arecaceae
Description: long non-coding RNA (PDAC_LNC021883)
Source: RNAcentral